CUCGCUGUAGUUUAAUUUAAAACGCUGAAUUGCAAAUUCAGAGAUUGGACGCCCAUAGCGAGU
This 63-nucleotide transfer RNA is filed under the name Pirenella pupiformis. RNAcentral's name for it is "tRNA-Cys". It matches the Rfam family "tRNA". Rfam says of the family: Transfer RNA (tRNA) molecules are approximately 80 nucleotides in length. Their secondary structure includes four short double-helical elements and three loops (D, anti-codon, and T loops). Further hydrogen bonds mediate the characteristic L-shaped molecular structure. tRNAs have two regions of fundamental functional importance: the anti-codon, which is responsible for specific mRNA codon recognition, and the 3' end, to which the tRNAs corresponding amino acid is attached (by aminoacyl-tRNA synthetases). tRNAs cope with the degeneracy of the genetic code in two manners: having more than one tRNA (with a specific anti-codon) for a particular amino acid; and 'wobble' base-pairing, i.e. permitting non-standard base-pairing at the 3rd anti-codon position. Lineage: Eukaryota; Metazoa; Mollusca; Gastropoda; Potamididae. The record is from RNAcentral.